GACACGCUGGCGGCGUGCUUAACACAUGCAAGUCGAACGGAGUUAAGGAGCUUGCUUCUUAACUUAGUGGCGAACGGGUGAGUAACGCGUGAGGAACCUGCCUUUCAGUGGGGGACAACAGUUGGAAACGACUGCUAAUACCGCAUGAUACUAUUGAGCGGCAUCGCUUGAUAGUCAAAGAUUUAUUGCUGAAAGAUGGCCUCGCGUCUGAUUAGCUAGUUGUGGGGUAACGGCCCACCAAGGCGACGAUCAGUAGCCGGACUGAGAGGUUGACCGGCCACAUUGGGACUGAGAUACGGCCCAGACUCCUACGGGAGGCAGCAGUGGGGAAUAUUGGGCAAUGGGCGAAAGCCUGACCCAGCAACGCCGCGUGAAGGAAGAAGGCCUUCGGGUUGUAAACUUCUUUACCAGGGACGAACACAAUGACGGUACCUGGAGAAAAGCAACGGCUAACUACGUG
Molecule: ribosomal RNA, 460 nt
Filed under: uncultured bacterium
Lineage: Bacteria
Description: bacterial SSU rRNA
Rfam family: Bacterial small subunit ribosomal RNA
Source: RNAcentral